Molecule: non-coding RNA, 511 nt
Organism: Sesamum indicum (sesame)
Lineage: Eukaryota; Viridiplantae; Streptophyta; Magnoliopsida; Lamiales; Pedaliaceae
Source: RefSeq, a predicted model, not a curated record
UGGUAGCGACCAAAUCAAGAAACCAUUGACAUAUAUUGUCCUAUCAUCCUUAAGUAGAAAAUUUUAAAUUAUUUAAAUUUAAUCGAAUCAAACUAAUUAAAUAGUAUAUAUAUAUAUUUAUAUUAAUUAUUUUUUUAAAUUAUAUAUUAGUAAUAUAUUAUAUUUACGAGAUAAUUGAUUCGUUCUAAUUAAACUUGAGUUGAAUUAAAAAAUUUCUAUUUUGCAUAUUCAAAGAAAAAAGGAAGUAGAAAAAACCCACUUGGAAUUAGGUGGAGGAGUCUAUAAAGUUUGCUAAAAUUCUUGGUUCAACUUUGGAAAUGGGGGACAGGUAUGAGUGGUAAGAAAUUCAGUACCUUCGAAAUGGCUAACGGCCCGUCUGACUUUCUUGGCACAGCCUUCGCAAUGCAAGUCCAGCUUCAAAACAACGGUGGUUGGCCCCUCAUCUUUCUUCCCUCCGACUUCCGCCGCCUUCUUCUCUCCGCCCUCCGCAGCCGCCUUCUUCCCUCCGUCA